RNAcentral lists this long non-coding RNA (217 nucleotides) under Lathyrus oleraceus (garden pea). RNAcentral's name for it is "Pisum sativum (pea) long non-coding RNA (PSAT_LNC003873)". Lineage: Eukaryota; Viridiplantae; Streptophyta; Magnoliopsida; Fabales; Fabaceae. The record is from RNAcentral.
GGAAACAUUCAUUUUAUGUAAUGUCCUCAUUGGAUGGUUAACCUAACUACUUCAAUACACCAAUUAAUUCAAAAUAACUUCACUUAUCAAUAUCUACUAGUCCUCUUUCAUACACAUUUAGUUCAAGAUCAAUAAAUUCAUCACAAUAAUGAAUUUUGAGUUUCAGAAAUUCGUCCGUUAUCCUUAUUCAAAUAGAUUUCGUCAAAGCCCUAAAACA